RNAcentral lists this ribosomal RNA (919 nucleotides) under uncultured bacterium. RNAcentral's name for it is "bacterial SSU rRNA". It matches the Rfam family "Bacterial small subunit ribosomal RNA", at positions 561 to 1482 of the family's 1533-position model. The record is from RNAcentral.
UAAAGAGCUCGUAGGUGGUUCGAUACGUCGGAUGUGAAAAUCAGGGGCUCAACCCNNGACCNGCAUUCGAUACGGUCGAGCUAGAGUUUGGUAGGGGAGACUGGAAUUCCUGGUGUAGCGGUGGAAUGCGCAGAUAUCAGGAGGAACACCGAUGGCGAAGGCAGGUCUCUGGGCCAAUACUGACACUGAGGAGCGAAAGCGUGGGGAGCGAACAGGAUUAGAUACCNUGGUAGUCCACGCCGUAAACGGUGGGCGCUAGUUGUGCGAACCUUCCACGGUUUGUGCGACGCAGCUAACGCAUUAAGCGCCCCGCCUGGGGAGUACGAUCGCAAGAUUAAAACUCAAAGGAAUUGACGGGGCCCCGCACAAGCAGCGGAGCAUGCGGCUUAAUUCGACGCAACGCGAAGAACCUUACCAAGGCUUGACAUAUACAGGAAUACGGCAGAGAUGUCGUAGCCGCAAGGUCUGUAUACAGGUGGUGCAUGGUUGUCGUCAGCUCGUGUCGUGAGAUGUUGGGUUAAGUCCCGCAACGAGCGCAACCCUCGUUCUGUGUUGCCAGCAUUUAGUUGGGGACUCACAGGAGACUGCCGGGGUUAACUCGGAGGAAGGUGGGGAUGACGUCAAAUCAUCAUGCCCCUUAUGUCUUGGGCUGCACGCAUGCUACAAUGGCUGGUACAAACGGCUGCAAUACCGCAAGGUGGAGCGAAUCCGAUAAAGCCAGUCUCAGUUCGGAUUGGGGUCUGCAACUCGACCCCAUGAAGUCGGAGUUGCUAGUAAUCGUAGAUCAGCAACGCUACGGUGAAUACGUUCCCGGGGCUUGUACACACCGCCCGUCACGUCACGAAAGUCGGUAACACCCAAAGUCAGUGGCCCAACCGCAAGGAGGGAGCUGCCAAAGGUGGGAUCGGUGAUUGGGACG